Molecule: long non-coding RNA, 631 nt
Organism: Colletes gigas
Lineage: Eukaryota; Metazoa; Arthropoda; Insecta; Hymenoptera; Colletidae
Exons: 3
Source: RefSeq, a predicted model, not a curated record
UUCACAUUUUAUUUUUAUUGCAGCCUCGAAUUCCGAGCCAACUUUAAGGAAGAACGCCAUUAUUGCCGAUUCGAAUCGAAGGAACGAAUUUGGCGCGGAAUAUUGGACAAAUCUACUCUGCGUGAUCUAUCGCGAGAAGGGUUCACUUUGUACAGGAUUCACCGGAUAACAGUUAAUUGAAACCGGCGAUCCUAUUUUACGAUUGAUUAGUCGUCCGUGCAAUAUCAGCCCCGUAGAACAACAACGUUCAACCUUGGUACUGGGAUAUUGAAGUAUGUUGGUCCGGGGAAAAAGCCACAAGAUGCGGUUCACCCCUUUGUAACGAAAAAACACAGUGUUAACGAAGGAGGAAAAACUAAAGACUGGAAGCGGAACAGUACAUUCGAGAAUUAUACAACACGUAUUUUUUUAUCAUUCUACUUCCUGAUGUUAUCGUAAUACGUAGCCCCGUGCGUGAAUUUCCUGUGGUCAACACGCGUUUGCAUGCGUUAAAACGAUGAACAAACCACUGAUUAAAUGUAUAUUCUAUUCUAUUCGGAAUCCACAAAAACACGGGAUUGUAAAAUAAUGUUAUUCGAAUGAAAUUUGAUAGAGAGAGAACAAGUCGAAACGACCUAUCCCUUUAACGAAU